This 484-nucleotide ribosomal RNA is filed under the name uncultured bacterium. Its description in RNAcentral is "bacterial SSU rRNA". It matches the Rfam family "Bacterial small subunit ribosomal RNA", at positions 21 to 507 of the family's 1533-position model. The record is from RNAcentral.
GGCUCAGGAUGAACGCUAGCGGCAGGCUUAACACAUGCAAGUCGAGGGGUAUAGGGAGCUUGCUUCCUAGAGACCGGCGCACGGGUGCGUAACGCGUAUGCAAUCUACCUUUGCAGAGGGAUAGCCAGAGAAUUUGGAUUAAUACCUCAUAGUAUUUUCGGAUCGCAUGAUUUGAUUAUUAAAGUUCCAACGGUAAAAGAUGAGUAUGCGUCCCAUUAGCUAGAUGGUAAGGUAACGGCUUACCAUGGCUACGAUAGGUAGGGGUCCUGAGAGGGAGAUCCCCCACACUGGUACUGAGACACGGACCAGACUCCUACGGGAGGCAGCAGUGAGGAAUAUUGGACAAUGGGCGCAAGCCUGAUCCAGCCAUGCCGCGUGCAGGAAGAAGCAUCUAUGGUGUGUAAACUGCUUUUGUACGGGAAGAAACACUCCUACGUGUAGGAGCUUGACGGUACCGUAAGAAUAAGGAUCGGCUAACUCCGUG